UACGAGGGGUGCAAGCGUUAUUCGGAAUUACUGGGCGUAAAGGGUGCGUAGACGGCUCAUUAAGUUUGUUGUUAAAUCCUCCGGCUCAACCGGAGACCUGCAAUAAAAACUGAUAGGCUAGAGGAUGAGAGAGAGAAGUGGAAUUCCCGGAGUAGCGGUAAAAUGCGUAGAUCUCGGGAGGAACACCAAUGGCGAAGGCAGCUUCUUGGCUCAUUUCUGACGUUGAUGCACGAAAGUGUGGGGAGCAAACAGGAUUAGAUACCCCAGUA
This 269-nucleotide ribosomal RNA is filed under the name uncultured prokaryote. RNAcentral's name for it is "partial 16S ribosomal RNA". It matches the Rfam family "Bacterial small subunit ribosomal RNA", at positions 524 to 792 of the family's 1533-position model. The record is from RNAcentral.